GAGAGUAUAGCUCAGUGAUAGAGUGGGUGCCCAGCAUGCACAAGGUCCUGGGUUCAAUCCCUGGUACCUCCA
Camelus ferus (Wild Bactrian camel) is the source of this 72-nucleotide transfer RNA. It matches the Rfam family "tRNA". Rfam says of the family: Transfer RNA (tRNA) molecules are approximately 80 nucleotides in length. NCBI's taxonomy places the organism in Eukaryota, Metazoa, Chordata, Mammalia, Artiodactyla, Camelidae. The record is from Rfam.